Molecule: ribosomal RNA, 1421 nt
Filed under: Beijerinckia mobilis
Lineage: Bacteria; Pseudomonadati; Pseudomonadota; Alphaproteobacteria; Hyphomicrobiales; Beijerinckiaceae
Description: 16S ribosomal RNA
Rfam family: Bacterial small subunit ribosomal RNA
Source: RNAcentral
AGUUUGAUCCUGGCUCAGAACGAACGCUGGCGGCAGGCCUAACACAUGCAAGUCGAACGCCGUAGCAAUACGGAGUGGCAGACGGGUGAGUAACGCGUGGGAACGUACCCUUUGGUUCGGAAUAACUCAGGGAAACUUGGGCUAAUACCGGAUACGUCCGAGAGGAGAAAGAUUUAUCGCCGAAGGAUCGGCCCGCGUCUGAUUAGCUAGUUGGUGUGGUAAUGGCGCACCAAGGCGACGAUCAGUAGCUGGUCUGAGAGGAUGAUCAGCCACAUUGGGACUGAGACACGGCCCAAACUCCUACGGGAGGCAGCAGUGGGGAAUAUUGGACAAUGGGCGCAAGCCUGAUCCAGCCAUGCCGCGUGAGUGAUGACGGCCUUAGGGUUGUAAAGCUCUUUUACCUGGGAAGAUAAUGACGGUACCAGGAGAAUAAGCCCCGGCUAACUUCGUGCCAGCAGCCGCGGUAAUACGAAGGGGGCUAGCGUUGUUCGGAUUUACUGGGCGUAAAGCGCACGUAGGCGGAUUUUUAAGUCAGGGGUGAAAUCCCAAGGCUCAACCUUGGAACUGCCUUUGAUACUGGAGAUCUUGAGUCCGGGAGAGGUGAGUGGAACUGCGAGUGUAGAGGUGAAAUUCGUAGAUAUUCGCAAGAACACCAGUGGCGAAGGCGGCUCACUGGCCCGGAACUGACGCUGAGGUGCGAAAGCGUGGGGAGCAACAGGAUUAGAUACCUGGUAGUCCACGCCGUAAACGAUGGAUGCUAGCCGUUUAGGCAGCUUGCUGCUUAGUGGCGCAGUUAACGCUUUAGCAUCCCGCCUGGGGAGUACGGUCGCAAGAUUAAACUCAAAGGAAUUGACGGGGGCCCGCACAAGCGGUGGAGCAUGUGGUUAAUUCGAAGCAACGCGCAGAACCUUACCAACCUUUGACAUGUCUCGUUUGGUUACCAGAGAUGGUUUCCUUCAGUUCGGCUGGCGAGAACACAGGUGCUGCAUGGCUGUCGUCAGCUCGUGUCGUGAGAUGUUGGGUUAAGUCCCGCAACGAGCGCAACCCACGCCCUUAGUUGCCAUCAUUUAGUUGGGCACUCUAGGGGGACUGCCGGUGAUAAGCCGAGAGGAAGGUGUGGAUGACGUCAAGUCCUCAUGGCCCUUACGGGUUGGGCUACACACGUGCUACAAUGGCGGUGACAAUGGGAUGCGAAGGGGCGACCCUUAGCAAAUCUCCAAAAUCCGUCUCAGUUCGGAUUGCACUCUGCAACUCGAGUGCAUGAAGGUGGAAUCGCUAGUAAUCGUAGAUCAGAACGCUACGGUGAAUACGUUCCCGGGCCUUGUACACACCGCCCGUCACACCAUGGGAGUUGGUUCUACCCGAAGGCGUUUUGCUAACCGCAAGGGGGCAGGCGACCACGGUAGGGUCAGCGACUGGGG